Molecule: ribosomal RNA, 224 nt
Filed under: uncultured fungus
Lineage: Eukaryota; Fungi
Description: partial small subunit ribosomal RNA
Source: RNAcentral
GGGUAGGGCGGCCGGUCGGUCCCGCAAGGGAUUCGCACAUGCGCUUGUCCUAACCAUCUUUGGGAAGAUCGUGUUCGGCGUUCACGCGUCGGGCAUGGGAAUCCCAUCCUUUACUGUGAGCAAAUUAGAGUGUUCAAAGCAGGCGAUCGCCGGUGAAUACAUUAGCAUGGAAUAAUAAGAUAAGACCUCGGGCGGUCUAUUUUGUUGGUUUGCACGCCUAGGUA